GAUGAACGCUGGCGGCGUGCCUAAUACAUGCAAGUCGAGCGAACAGAUGAGGAGCUUGCUCCUCUGACGUUAGCGGCGGACGGGUGAGUAACACGUGGAUAACCUACCUAUAAGACUGGGAUAACUUCGGGAAACCGGAGCUAAUACCGGAUAAUAUAUUGAACCGCAUGGUUCAAUAGUGAAAGACGGUUUUGCUGUCACUUAUAGAUGGAUCCGCGGCGCAUUAGCUAGUUGGUAAGGUAAAGGCUUACCAAGGCAACGAUGCGUAGCCGACCUGAGAGGGUGAUCGGCCACACUGGAACUGAGACACGGUCCAGACUCCUACGGGAGGCAGCAGUAGGGAAUCUUCCGCAAUGGGCGAAAGCCUGACGGAGCAACGCCGCGUGAGUGAUGAAGGUCUUCGGAUCGUAAAACUCUGUUAUUAGGGAAGAACAAAUGUGUAAGUAACUAUGCACGUCUUGACGGUACCUAAUCAGAAAGCCACGGCUAACUACGUG
RNAcentral lists this ribosomal RNA (497 nucleotides) under uncultured bacterium. RNAcentral's name for it is "partial 16S ribosomal RNA". It matches the Rfam family "Bacterial small subunit ribosomal RNA", at positions 28 to 507 of the family's 1533-position model. The record is from RNAcentral.